UACGGGAGGCAGCAGUGGGGAAUAUUGCACAAUGGGCGCAAGCCUGAUGCAGCCAUGCCGCGUGUAUGAAGAAGGCCUUCGGGUUGUAAAGUACUUUCAGCGGGGAGGAAGGGAGUAAAGUUAAUACCUUUGCUCAUUGACGUUACCCGCAGAAGAAGCACCGGCUAACUCCGUGCCAGCAGCCGCGGUAAUACGGAGGGUGCAAGCGUUAAUCGGAAUUACUGGGCGUAAAGCGCACGCAGGCGGUUUUGUUAGUCAGAUGUGAAAUCCCCGGGCUCAACCUGGGAACUGCAUCUGAUACUGGCAAGCUUGAGUCUCGUAGAGGGGGUAGAAUUCCAGGUGUAGCGGUGAAAUGCGUAGAGAUCUGGAGGAAUACCGGUGGCGAAGGCGGCCCCUGGGACGAAGACUGACGCUCAGGUGCGAAAGCGUGGGGAGCAAACGAGGGAUUAGGAUACC
This 456-nucleotide ribosomal RNA is filed under the name uncultured bacterium. RNAcentral's name for it is "bacterial SSU rRNA". It matches the Rfam family "Bacterial small subunit ribosomal RNA", at positions 340 to 786 of the family's 1533-position model. The record is from RNAcentral.